Lepidothrix coronata (blue-crowned manakin) is the source of this 456-nucleotide long non-coding RNA. RefSeq lists it as uncharacterized. The transcript has 3 exons. The record is from RefSeq and is a predicted model, not a curated record. NCBI's taxonomy places the organism in Eukaryota, Metazoa, Chordata, Aves, Passeriformes, Pipridae.
AUUAACUUCAAAGCAAUGCAAAGAGGGAGAUCAAGUCAAUCUUCAAGAGUGCUACUGGUGUUUGAAAUGUAUUCAUUAAACAAAGGAACUGCAGGAACUGAAAACCUGCUGCCCAUGGAGAAUUGCCUCUGGGGAUACCUGACCACUAAAUAUGACAGCUGCGGAAAUAGAAAGGAUGAAAAUUAGCCACAAAGGAAAUAAGCAACUUUCCCAAGAACGUACAGUAAAUCUAUAGAAGUCCCAAAACCAGAAUUGAAAUCUACGAAGCACUGAAAUCCUAUUAACCCCACAACAUACCCUUUCUUUUGGAUUGAAUAUCACAAAUAAAUGUACAAUUUUACAAACAGUAAUUUUACAGCUUAAUGAAAACUUAUUCUGAAUAUAAUAUUAGAUAUGAUGAGGAAUGUCAAGUAUUGUGCUAUCCAGUACGAAGUAGAGACCGAACUCCACUCCUAU